Molecule: unclassified non-coding RNA, 395 nt
Filed under: soil metagenome
Description: partial contains 5.8S ribosomal RNA, internal transcribed spacer 2, and large subunit ribosomal RNA
Rfam family: 5.8S ribosomal RNA (bases 1-122)
Source: RNAcentral
GAUGAAGAACGUAGCGAAAUGCGAUACUUGGUGUGAAUUGCAGAAUCCCGUGAACCAUCGAGUCUUUGAACGCAAGUUGCGCCCGAAGCCAUCAGGUUGAGGGCACGUCUGCCUGGGCGUCACAUAUCGUUGCCCAAUGCCUAUUGCAGUGCAAUAGGAAUUUCUAGGGCGAAUGAUGGCUUCCCGUGAGCGUUGUUGCCUCGCGGUUGGUUGAAAAUCGAGUCCUUGGUAGGGUGUGCCAUGGUAGAUGGUGGUCGAGUUAGAACGAUACCGAUCAUGUGCAUGCUCCCCAAAAUAUGGACUCUAUGACCCACACGCGUCUUUUGACGCUCAUGACGAGACCUCAGGUCAGGCGGGGCUACCCGCUGAAUUUAAGCAUAUCAAUAAGCGGAGGA